Oncorhynchus masou masou (cherry salmon) is the source of this 1716-nucleotide long non-coding RNA. RefSeq lists it as uncharacterized. The transcript is spliced from 2 exons. The record is from RefSeq and is a predicted model, not a curated record. Lineage: Eukaryota; Metazoa; Chordata; Actinopteri; Salmoniformes; Salmonidae.
UAUCUGGUUCUUAUUCGCUGUGUGUGACCACUCACUGCAGCUUGCUCAUUUGUAAUUCUAAACAUAUUUAAGGUGUCUUUUUUAACUCACUUUUUGUCUCUCCCACAACGUUAUUCCUCUCUCCUACAGCGUCCAUCACAAUUACAUGGCCAAUUAUGCAAAUUAGGUGAUGAUGUAAUUUAGCGACUUCUAGGACAGCCAAUAGCUACUUUGCCUUACUGAGGAGUUUACAACACUGCAGGCUACACACAGUCUCUUCUGCAGAUAGAUGUGUGUGCGUCUGGUAGUGGGUCUCUAUCUAUCCCACUCUUUUCCUUUCGGCAGGGUUAAUACCUGCCUGGAGCCCGAACAAAAAUCUUUAUCUUUAUCCUCUAACAAUACCACUACAACCUUAAACAACUAUAUGGGUAAUGCAAAAGGAAACUGCACUAAAAUUUAAACGUGUUCAUCCAACUGUCUUGGCUGUCUCAUGCUGUGUGUGAAGGUAUGUCAUAAUCAGGAAUGCCUGAACUUGGAGUCCGACCAAGGCAAACUGCAGUAACUGCAGUCAAAACACAGUGGAACAAGUGAGCAUCUCAAAUUCCCUCGCAGAUGUCUUCCAAUCGACACACAAGUAUGGCAACAUCAUAUGAUCCCUUACCUGACUGUGUCAUAGUGAUGUCCGUGCUUUCUGUAGACCAGUGCUGAGCAGGAGUGGAGUUGCCGUAGAGCACCAGGGGUCAGGGUGGUUCUGCUCUCUCUCUGCCACAGGGGCAGCACUCUCUUCUGGGUCAGUCUGAACAGAGGCCUCCUCAUGACGAUUGAUGCAGCAAAGGCCAUACUAUGGAUGAACCAGUUCUACUUCUACAUGGCAUUAAUGGUACACUGCCCCUCAGUAAUCUCACUUCCUGAAAGUCCUAAUGGACUGGGAGGGUGAAGAAAGCAUGUGUUUUCCCGUAUCUCAUCUUCACUGUGGUGGUGACCCUGAAGCUAAAUACUUCAUGAUUGUGUAACAACCUUCUAAAAAUCGUAAAUUCCCAAUGUUCCUCAUAAGAACGAAAGUCGGGAAAAGGUCAAAUUGUAAUAGCACAGAAGACAUUCGUAGAGCUGAAUUGAAGGGAUAAGUUCAACCAAAUGACAAAAUGACCAGUUGGUUUCCUUACCUUGAAAGCAGUCUGUGUACAAAGGUAUGAUUUGGUUUCCAAUUGCUAACGUUUUAGCAUUUGUGGCACAAAUCCCAUUCAAGUCAUGGUACAGAUAUUAGAAUUUUUCGCUCAUGUCCAAAUCAUCCAAUAUGAUCUAAAAUUGAAUGUGAAGCUCAACAAAGUCACUCAAAGAUGAUUUGAACAUGAUGCACAAAAAAUGCUAAUAUCGGUACCAUGACUUGAAUGUGAUUUGUGCCACAAAUACUCAAACGUUAUAUUUGGAAACAGUGGCAGGGAAACUAAACCAAGGCAUGGAUUGCUGUCAUACCUUGUCCAUAGACUGCUUAUAGUGUAAGGAAACCAAUAUAUACUUUUGUAAUUUGGGCAAACUAUCCCUUUAAGCAUUUAUACAUCAUGGUAUUAUAAAAACAUUAUAUUUAAAUGCACUUCCAAAUCAAAUUGCAAACAUAUCUGUUGCUUAGCAUUUUAUUUUCACAAUUCUUCCCAUUUGAGUCCAGUUCAGUUUGCUGCAAAGAUAAUAGACAUAGCCUACUGUAAAAUAAUUUAUAAUAAAAUGUGUGUGUGUACCAGA